UACGUAGGUGGCAAGCGUUGUCCGGAAUUAUUGGGCGUAAAGCGCGCGCAGGCGGCUUCUUAAGUCUGAUGUGAAAAUCUCGGGGCUCAACCCCCGAGCGGCCAUUGGAAAACUGGGGAAGCUUGAGUACAGAAGAGGAGAGUGGAAUUCCACGUGUAGCGGUGAAAAUGCGUAGAUAUGUGGGAGGAACACCAGUGGCGAAAGGCGACUCUCUGGUCUGUAACUGACGCUGAGGCGCGAAAAGCGUGGGGGAGCAAACAGG
Molecule: ribosomal RNA, 262 nt
Filed under: uncultured bacterium
Lineage: Bacteria
Description: partial 16S ribosomal RNA
Rfam family: Bacterial small subunit ribosomal RNA
Source: RNAcentral